This 497-nucleotide ribosomal RNA is filed under the name uncultured bacterium. RNAcentral describes it as "partial 16S ribosomal RNA". It matches the Rfam family "Bacterial small subunit ribosomal RNA", at positions 28 to 507 of the family's 1533-position model. The record is from RNAcentral.
GAUGAACGCUGGCGGCGUGCCUAAUACAUGCAAGUCGAGCGAACGGACGAGAAGCUUGCUUCUCUGAUGUUAGCGGCGGACGGGUGAGUAACACGUGGAUAACCUACCUAUAAGACUGGGAUAACUUCGGGAAACCGUAGCUAAUACCGGAUAAUAUUUUGAACCGCAUGGUUCAAAAGUGAAAGACGGUCUUGCUGUCACUUAUAGAUGGAUCCGCGCUGCAUUAGCUAGUUGGUAAGGUAACGGCUUACCAAGGCAACGAUGCAUAGCCGACCUGAGAGGGUGAUCGGCCACACCGGAACUGAGACACGGUCCAGACUCCUACGGGAGGCAGCAGUAGGGAAUCUUCCGCAAUGGGCGAAAGCCUGACGGAGCAACGCCGCGUGAGUGAUGAAGGUCUUCGGAUCUUAAAACUCUGUUAUUAGGGAAGAACAUAUGUGUAAGUAACUGUGCACAUCUUGACGGUACCUAAUCAGAAAGCCACGGCUAACUACGUG